Molecule: ribosomal RNA, 497 nt
Filed under: uncultured bacterium
Lineage: Bacteria
Description: partial 16S ribosomal RNA
Rfam family: Bacterial small subunit ribosomal RNA
Source: RNAcentral
GAUGAACGCUGGCGGCGUGCCUAAUACAUGCAAGUCGAGCGAACAGACGAGGAGCUUGCUCCUCUGACGUUAGCGGCGGACGGGUGAGUAACACGUGGAUAACCUACCUAUAAGACUGGGAUAACUUCGGGAAACCGGAGCUACUACCGGCUAAUAUAUUGAACCGCAUGGUUCAAUAGUGAAAGACGGUUUUGCUGUCACUUAUAGAUGGAUCCGCGCCGCAUUAGCUAGUUGGUAAGGUAACGGCCUACCAAGGCAACGAUGCGUAGCCGACCUGAGAGGGUGAUCGGCCACACUGGAACUGAGACACGGUCCAGACUCCUACGGGAGGCAGCAGUAGGGAAUCUUCCGCAAUGGGCGAAAGCUUGACGGAGCAACGCCGCGUGAGUGAUGAAGGUCUUCGGAUCGUAAAACUCUGUUAUUAGGGAAGAACAAAUGUGUAAGUAACUAUGCACGUCUUGACGGUACCUAAUCAGAAAGCCACGGCUAACUACGUG